UACGAAGGGGGCUAGCGUUGUUCGGAAUUACUGGGCGUAAAGGGCGCGUAGGCGGUACUUCAAGUCAGGCGUGAAAGCCCCGGGCUCAACCUGGGAACCGCGCUUGAGACUGGAGAACUAGAGUUCGGGAGAGGAUGGUGGAAUUCCCAGUGUAGAGGUGAAAUUCGUAGAUAUUGGGAAGAACACCGAUGGCGAAGGCAGCCAUCUGGACCGACACUGACGCUGAGGCACGAAAGCGUGGGGAGCAAACAGG
Molecule: ribosomal RNA, 253 nt
Filed under: uncultured bacterium
Lineage: Bacteria
Description: partial 16S ribosomal RNA
Rfam family: Bacterial small subunit ribosomal RNA
Source: RNAcentral